RNAcentral lists this long non-coding RNA (3021 nucleotides) under Gallus gallus (chicken). The record is from RNAcentral. Lineage: Eukaryota; Metazoa; Chordata; Aves; Galliformes; Phasianidae.
CAUGUCACCUGAAUGCCAUUUUCUCAAGGGCCUAGAACUUGAAACUCAAGUUAUUGCUUGUACAGCGUAAUUCACAAUGUCCAGAUCACUCUCAUUCACUUCAGCUGGAGCUAAUAUAAUACAUUUAGCAGAAAAUGAACCAACUUCCUUCAAUUAACUCCUCCAGCUGACUCCUCCCAGUGCCCUGAGAGCUGACCCAAGGAUGAGUGAGGGGUAGGUCUGGAAUGACACGUUAAUGGCAUUCCUUUCUGCUUAUUCCCACCUUAACACCACACGCUGGCUAUAAAAGAAAUCCUCAGCCUUACUUACAGUCUCCCUUCCCCCAUCUGUGCACUCCUGACAGAGUUCCCAAAUAAACCUUGAAACCCACUAUCAGUUGUAAAACCUCUAAUCAAUGAAAGACACAGGAGCCAGUAAUAUGAAACCCUUUGCCUCAAGAUCUCAGCGCUUCUUGCUGAACAUCAAUCUUUGAGGUCAGGUAUUUGAGCUGCUGUUUGGCUUGAUGCUCGGAUGAAUGCAAAGUCAAACAAGGGACAAGCCUGAGUGGGUUUACAAGGCAAGCAGCAUCCUGACUCCUAGCAAAAUGGACACUAAAAGGGCCGUAAUUGGGUAAGAAAGCCCCUGGGGGACUGAUAGCAGGGAAACACGGAGAGAUCUUGUACAGAGGGACCUGGAGCACUGGGCUGCUUUGCUUCCAGGUAUUGAUGAAAAAGCAGGCAGCUCCAAAAGCAAUGACUGCAAAUUACAAGAGGCAUAAUUUGCAAUUAAGUGUUUUAAGAGCAAAGCGUGUGAAAGAUAGCUGCCUCCUACAAAGCCCCUCUAAGUCCGCAGAAUGUCCUCUUGUCUAAGGUGAGCUUAAGAGCAGGCCAGAAGGGAGAGAGCCAGGGAAGGGAGGGGGAAUUCUGAUGCUUGAAACAGGGAAGAGAGGUUACUCAGGGAGGUAAAACUAUAGCUGCGAUGGGAUGGAGUUAAACCAGCAGCACCCGGCUAUUAAACAGAAAGUGCCAAGUUUUUGGUGUCACGUCUCUGGGAAGAGAAAGACCUGUGUUUUUAUGACGGCUCUAAUGUGAAGUGAUUUAGCUCUGGAAAGUGCAUUGCAAUGAAGGAAAAUAAUUGAUUUCUUAUGGUGGAAGGUGGGGUUAGGAAACUUAACACCACUGUCAUAUCGGCGUCUUCUUCUGUGUCCCUCUGCUUUCUUGCUGCUGGGUUCCUAGGGAAAACAGAAUUUUCAGUCCCACAAAUAAUUUCUGUGGGGACAUUUAUGGUUACACUGUUCCUCCCCGAUAGGAUCUUACCCACAACAAAUGGAGAUGAAGAGGUUUUAAUGUCUGCUCUCUUCAAACAGUUUUAUCAACAAACAGCUGAGAACUGUUUACAUUUUAAAGACAGCCUAUUUAGUUAAAAUGCCAUGUGUUCCAAGUACUGCUGUUACCACAAUGCCUCAGGUCAAGUCCAGGAAUACAAAGUGCAAUAAUGUAUAUUAUUCAGAGGUCCUGUUACUGAGGGCUGUUUAGAGACUCAUCUAACCCACCCUGAAGUCAGUGGAAGGGCUUCCUUUGGCUCAAAGGGCUUAAGAGCAAGCAUAUACCAGUUCAGGAACUAGGUGCAAAACAUGUAUUUAUUUGCUGGCAAAAUCCUUUCUUGGGCUGCAAAUUGCAAAUCAAAACCUCGCGCUUAAUCUGGUUUGACAGGUAUUUUGUACUGCACAGAGCAGACGCAAGAGCUGCUCAAACAUUUUUCUUUGGCUUUGUCACUUCCACAGCAUUUGUGAUAUUUGCGUGUAGCCCUUUUAGAAAUCUUUUGCAGUAACACUUCCUGGUAGAACGAGAGAAUCUCAGGCCUGAGAGUAAGGCCUGAUGAUCCCCAGCCUCUACAGUUUUCACUCUGAAUCUGACACAAGUAUAUCAUUGGUGUGGCUCCAAAAGGCUUUGCUGGAAUCCCUCUGAUUUACACCCAUAUGAGAUCAGCAUUAGGCCCCAGUGUUUUCAUUUUUCAUUUGUUAUUCUUGGCCCUACUGUCCUUUUACCACUGUUGAAUACAAUGUUCCUAAAACACCAGAUGUGCUUGUGAGAUGAGGGAAUACUGUGAAAAAAAAAAUAAAUAGAUCACGGGGAUUCACUAAACAAAGCGUUGUUUUCUUUUGCCCUGCAGUCUUAAUGCUGAGCUUUCACACCAGUAUAACUGCUUUUAUUUCUAGAGGACUGUUUCUGAUUACGGUUGAGAAAUGAAGUUUUAAUCCUUUCUAGUAUAAGGACUUCUGUUACAGCAGCUCCUUAUCAGGGUCAGUGUGCAGCACUAGCUUGUAUAAUGACUGAUGCUUAAAUAUAUGACAUUAGGCAUGGAUUGUGUACUAGUUCUGGCUUUCCAGUCACUUUUCUAAUAUUUCAUUGGUAUUACUUACUGGUUCCAUACUCAUAUGGGAUUGUUAUUUCUCUUUCACUACUAAGUGACGCAUAGCUCCCUUAGCGAGAUACCAGCUAAACAGCAAUACCUGUUAUCACGUAGUUUAUACCUGUUAAAACUGGUGGGAGAUUCAAAUCUGCCCCAGCAUCCCUUGAUGUGGGAGGAAGAGCAGGUUCAAAUCUGCAGAGUGCUGACCACUCCAAACUGGAACAGCAAAGCAUUGAGCAAAGUGCUGAGCUUUAGGUGAAUGAGUAAUGUGACCGAACGACCUGGCUGCCUGACUUGCACAGCCAAGCCCUGUGUGAACACAGGGGCUAAGGCUGUGUGAUCACCUGUAACACUUCGUGCUCAAACCUGAGAUCCAGGUGCUAUAGUCAGCUCCUCAGUCAUCUGUUUAAAGGUCUGAGCGCCUUCACUGAUUGUGGAAGUUACAGGGAGUUGUUUUCUCCCACCUAGAGGUGUGUCGUUCAUUGUUGCCACUGAAGACCAGGCUGCAGGACUUCUGCGUUAGCCAGGGCUCGAUUCUGCAAGGUGCAGAGCCCAGGUGUGAGGCAGUGACUGUCCCUUGUUCCCUGCCAUCAGCGGCCCAGGAGAACAGUCAUUGUCCUUCAGGAAUGC